UGCGGAGGGAUCAUUA
Molecule: ribosomal RNA, 16 nt
Filed under: Bipolaris maydis (southern corn leaf blight pathogen)
Lineage: Eukaryota; Fungi; Ascomycota; Dothideomycetes; Pleosporales; Pleosporaceae
Also listed under: 139 other names
Description: partial 18S ribosomal RNA
Source: RNAcentral